CCCUUAGAUGUUCUGGGCUGCACGCGUGCUACACUGAUAUUGCCAAUAUGUCAUUCUUAUCCGAAAUGGAUUGGGUAAUCAAGUAAUGAAAUUUCAUGCUUGGAAUCGGUAAUUGCAAUUUUAUCGUGAACGAGGAAUUCCUAGUAAGCACUAGUCAUCAGCUAAUGUUGAUUAUGUCCCUGCCCUUUGUACACACCGCCCGUCGCUACUACUGAUUGGGUGUUCAAGUGAGAUGCUUAGACCCUUGUUGCAUGGUUCAUUAUUGUGCUCCGAAAGGAAAAAGUUUCAAGCUUGAGUGUCUAGAGGAAGUAAAAGUCGUAGCA
This 323-nucleotide ribosomal RNA is filed under the name uncultured eukaryote. Its description in RNAcentral is "partial 18S ribosomal RNA". It matches the Rfam family "Eukaryotic small subunit ribosomal RNA", at positions 1470 to 1796 of the family's 1831-position model. The record is from RNAcentral.